GUCAUGGUGUGUCAUCCUAGUUGGAUGUAUUUUUCCUUUCCAGAAGCUCAGCACCCUGUUGCUCGGGCUGAGAAACUUGGGUGCCAAAUGACUGUGUCCCAAACAGGAUGGUGCUCUGAGUGUCUGGCUAGAAGGGGACGCUGGGUCCCCAGAAGCUGAACUUACAUGUGGCUGUGAGUCUCUCGAUGAAAGUUCUGGGAGCGUCACUUAGAUCCUCUAGAAGAACAGAAGGUUUUCAUGACCAUUGAACACCUCCCCAGCCCCUGCCUGCUUAAAGUGGAUGCAUUUUAUUGGAUUCUUGAAAAUAUGACAUUGGACGAGAGUUAUGAAUCACAUCCUGCUUCAGCAAACCUUCGACAAGAUGAGGCAAUGUAGAAAACAGUCUUGCAAUGCGAAGGCGGGCCUAUGUGCUGCCAGUCAUUGCCGGAGACCAGGGCCGUGUGUCCUUCAGCAGCAGCUUCUGUGGUUCCAUAAGGCGGAGAAAAAGGAGACCGAUGACCACAUCUACGUGAUUCGAACUCUUGUUUUUAGAGUCCUAGAUAAAUUGAGUUAGAACAAGUGUUAUUGCAUGGACUUCAGUGAUGGCUUCUUAUGGUCCAAGGGCAGAAUCAGCUGCCUGCCUCAGUGUCUGUGUAGCCAUCAAAUCCUAAGUGUUUACUAGUCAUGUGGCC
Molecule: long non-coding RNA, 671 nt
Filed under: Cricetulus griseus (Chinese hamster)
Lineage: Eukaryota; Metazoa; Chordata; Mammalia; Rodentia; Cricetidae
Description: lncRNA (ENSCGRG00015039284.1)
Source: RNAcentral